AUUGAACGCUGGCGGCAUGCCUUACACAUGCAAGUCGAACGGCAGCACGGGUGCUUGCACCUGGUGGCGAGUGGCGAACGGGUGAGUAAUACAUCGGAACAUGUCCUGUAGUGGGGGAUAGCCCGGCGAAAGCCGGAUUAAUACCGCAUACGAUCCACGGAUGAAAGCGGGGGACCUUCGGGCCUCGCGCUAUAGGGUUGGCCGGUGGCUGAUUAGCUAGUUGGUGGGGUAAAGGCCUACCAAGGCGACGAUCAGUAGCUGGUCUGAGAGGACGACCAGCCACACUGGGACUGAGACACGGCCCAGACUCCUACGGGAGGCAGCAGUGGGGAAUUUUGGACAAUGGGCGAAAGCCUGAUCCAGCAAUGCCGCGUGUGUGAAGAAGGACUUCGGGUUGUAAAGCACUUUUGUCCGGAAAGAAAUCCUUGACUCUAAUACAGUCGGGGGAUGACGGUACCGGAAGAAUAAGCACCGGCUAACUACGUG
Molecule: ribosomal RNA, 486 nt
Filed under: uncultured bacterium
Lineage: Bacteria
Description: partial 16S ribosomal RNA
Rfam family: Bacterial small subunit ribosomal RNA
Source: RNAcentral